This 509-nucleotide ribosomal RNA is filed under the name uncultured bacterium. Its description in RNAcentral is "bacterial SSU rRNA". It matches the Rfam family "Bacterial small subunit ribosomal RNA", at positions 17 to 518 of the family's 1533-position model. The record is from RNAcentral.
UUAUGGCUCAGGAUGAACGCUAGCGGCAGGCUUAACACAUGCAAGUCGAGGGGCAGCGGGAUGUAGCAAUACAUUGCCGGCGACCGGCGGAUGGGUGCGUAACGCGUAUGCAACCUACCUUAUACAGGGGAAUAACCUUUCGAAAGGGAGACUAACACCCCAUAGUAUUGAUUUAAGGCAUCUUAGAUUAAUUAAAUAUUUAUAGGUAUAAGAUGGGCAUGCGUAUGAUUAGCUAGUUGGUAAGGUAACGGCUUACCAAGGCGACGAUCAUUAGGGGUUCUGAGAGGAAGGUCCCCCACACUGGUACUGAGACACGGACCAGACUCCUACGGGAGGCAGCAGUGAGGAAUAUUGGUCAAUGGGCGCAAGCCUGAACCAGCCAUGCCGCGUGCAAGGAAGACGGCCUUAUGGGUUGUAAACUGCUUUUACAUAAGACUAACCGUAUAUUUGCGAAUAUACCUGAAUGUAUUAUGAGAAUAAGGAUCGGCUAACUCCGUGCCAGCAGCUGC